GACUGCCGGCUAAAAGUCGGAGGAAGGUGGGGAGUGACGUCAAAUCAUCAUGCCCCUUAUGACCUGGGCUACACACGUGCUACAAUGGGCGGUACAAAGGGUCGCGAACCCGCGAGGGGGAGCCAAUCCCAAAAAAGCCGCUCUCAGUUCGGAUUGCAGGCUGCAACUCGCCUGCAUGAAGCCGGAAUCGCUAGUAAUCGCGGAUCAGCAUGCCGCGGUGAAUACGUUCCCGGGCCUU
Molecule: ribosomal RNA, 238 nt
Filed under: uncultured Paenibacillus sp.
Lineage: Bacteria; Bacillati; Bacillota; Bacilli; Caryophanales; Paenibacillaceae
Description: partial 16S ribosomal RNA
Rfam family: Bacterial small subunit ribosomal RNA
Source: RNAcentral